UAAGGGAGCUACCAUUGGCGGGAAAAGAAGUCAAGAAAAUCUAGGAACUGAAGAUUUUGGUAAAGAAAAUCUUAACGUAAAAUAUAAUUUCUUCUAUUAUGCCCUCUGGCCUAAGAUCAAAGACAUUUACUUUACCUGAAUGCCCACAUUCUAAAGAGAUGAUGUCUACCUCCUUUGCUGUAUGUUGAGCACACGAUAGAUACCACACAGUGCUAGGGAUGCAUUUUUAUAAAAUACAUCCAAAUGGAUUUUUGUUUGUUUGUUUAAGCUAGGAAGUAUUUUUUCCUUACAACUGUCCCAAGAUUCAAGAUCUACUUUCAAGUGAUCUGAAACAAGUUCAGAGGAUUUAUGAUAUUUAAUGUACAUAGGGUUUUCUCAGAGACUACCAUAAUCUUCAAUUUGCAUCCCAUAUAUUUAAAGAAUACUUUCAUGGAGUUCCCAUCAUGGCACAGCAGAAACAAAUCCAACUAGGAACCAUGAGGUUGGGUUGCUGGUUGGAUUCCUGGCCUCGUUCAGUGGGUUAAGGAUCCAGCGUUGUUCUGAGCUGCGGUGUAGGUCGCAGAUGUGGCUCGGAUCCAGGGUUGCUAUGGCUGUGGCAUAGGCCAGCAGCUGUAACUCUGAUUUGACCUUUAGCUUGGGAACCUCUGUAUGCCACUGAAUGUGGCCCUAAAAAGCAACGAAGGAAGGAAGGAAGGAAGGAAGGAAGGAAAAAGAAAGAAAGAAACAAAUAAAGAAGGAGAGAGAGAGAAAGAAAGAAAGAAAGAAAAAGAAAAAAAUACUUUCAAGUUCUUGACCUCAUGUUUUAUUUACACAUAUUUUUUAACCUUUCUAUACCUUAUCAGCAUAGCCCUAAUUUAGGACACAGUCACAUAUGGCCACUCUAAUUGAUAAUGAAAAACAACAAGACUCAGUAAUCAAUAAUGCCUAUGUUUUCCUUAUACAUGAUUUCAAAUACAGUAUAUCCUGCAAAGCAAAGAGUUUUCCAAUAUUGUGAAGGUAAUAUUUCCUUAAUCCAGGAAUGAAUUGUUGAGUAACAGGAGAACUAGAGAGGAAAAAAAAUCUCAUCAAAGAUCUGUUCUUAAUUGUUUAUGAUAAAACUAUGCCAUGAUGCCUAUCAAGUAUAACUCAGGGUUUAUAACUAUACUUUUUCAUGAUAGUAUAAUUAAAGUAUGAUGUUAAUUGAUAAAUGGAAGGUAAAGACAUGAUGUCCUUUUAUCACAUGCCGAGUGCACUGCUUCAUCUUAAUCAUUAUUUAUCCAACACCUAAAAUACGCCAGAGGGGAAAUUUACUGCAUUAAUUUCAAUCACUAGACAUUUUAAAGAAUGUUCUGAACCACAUUUAAUACAUUAUUUCAAUUUCCCCUGUUUUCUCAGAAUCAUUCUUUUCAAAUCAGAUAUUCCAGGAAACAUUAAACUGGACAAAUUAAGUCAUUUUAUAUAACGUUCCCUCUGGUGUUUCUAAUUUUCAAAAUAAUUACUCAUCUUUCUCUUUAUAGUCUCUGAAUCAAAAUUACUUAGUUCAACUGUAUUAGGGCUCCCCAGAGAAAGGAAACCAAUAGUAUGGAGAUGGAUAGAUAAACAGAUGGAUAGAGAUAGAUAGAUAGAUAGAUAGAUAGAUAGAUAGAUAGAUAGAUAGAUAGAUAGAUAGAUAGAUAGGUAGGCAGGCAGGCAGGCAGGCAGGCAGGCAGAUAGACAUUCAUAUAGAGAGAAAAAGAUUUAUUAUAAGAUAUUUGCUACAGGCUGACAAGUCCCAAGAUCUGCAGGGUGAGUCAUCCAGCUGCAGACAAAAGGAGAGCUGACGGUGCCUUCCCAGUCUGAGUCAGAGGGUGAACACCAGGAGUCCCAAGGGUAUAUAGCUCUAGUCCAAAGGCCAGUAGGCUCCAAAUGCAGCAAGAGCCAAAGAUUCCGCCCUUGGUUUCAGUCCCCGUCCCAAGCCAGGAAAUAAACCUGUGUUCCACUUCAAAGGCAGACAUGCAGGAAGAAUUCUCUCUUACUCAGACUCAGGAGAGGGUCAGCCUUUUUGUUCUAUUCGGGCCCUCAACUGAUUUGUUGGGACCCACCCACAUUAGAGAGAGCAAUCUGCUUUAUGUGGUCUAUUGAUUUAAAGGUUAAUCUCAGCCAAAAUACCCUCAUAGAACCACCCAGACUAAUGCCUGACUGGAUAUCUAGGCACCCUGGUGGCCGAGUCAAAUUGGCACAUAAAAUUAACCAUCAAUUACUUUCUCCAGAAACAACCAUACUUUCUCCUACUUCUCCCAAAUUUCAGAGUUUUGGAGGAUUAAAGUGUUUCCAAACAAGAAUUACUCUAAAUAAUUAAAAAAUAAAACCUUAUCAGAAGCAAUACAUUUCCUUCUCAAGCAGAAAAGGGAUCCUUUCUUUUUCAUAUUUAUAAAGUUCCACAUUAUUUAUGUUAACUCUCACAAUAAGUAGUGACACCCUCAAAAUAAAGUAAAGGAACAUGUUAAGCUGAAAUUUAAAUACCAAUCUCCAUUUAGAAACUUGUCCCCAAACUCCCAGGAUAUCAUUAAUGCUAAAGGUAAAGACAUCUUACAAAAACGGAAAACGAGUAAGAAUACAUGAAUAAAUUAAUACAAAUGUCAUAGAAUCAUAGGAUUUAAGUUUUCUUUAGAGGCUUGUCAAUGUAUACUUUAAAACACAUACAAAAACAAUCCACAAAUAUUGAACAUCCAUCACG
This 2695-nucleotide long non-coding RNA is filed under the name Sus scrofa (pig). Its description in RNAcentral is "lncRNA (ENSSSCG00050015887.1)". The record is from RNAcentral. Lineage: Eukaryota; Metazoa; Chordata; Mammalia; Artiodactyla; Suidae.